AUUGAACGCUGGCGGCAGGCCUAACACAUGCAAGUCGAGCGGAUGAAGGGAGCUUGCUCCUGGAUUCAGCGGCGGACGGGUGAGUAAUACCUAGGAAUCUGCCUGGCAGUGGGGGAUAACGUCCGGAAACGGGCGCUAAUAACGCAUACGUCCUGCGGGAGCAAGAGGGGGAUCUUCGGACCUCACGCUAUCAGAUGAGCCUAGGCCGGUUUAGCUAGUUGGUGGGGUAAUGGCCUACCAAGGCGACUAUCGGUAACUGGUCGGUGAGGAUGAGCGGUCGCCCUGGAGGUUGACCGCGGUCCAGGCUCCUGCGGGAGGCCGCAGUGGGCAAUAUUGGGCAGUGGUCGGAAGCCUUGUCCAGCCGGGCCACGUGUGUUGAGAAGGUCUUCGGAUCGUGAAGCACGUUUUGGGGUUGUGAACGGCUUUAGGCUAUUACCUUGCUGUUUUGACGUUACCGAGUGAAUAAGCACCGGCUAACUACGUG
Molecule: ribosomal RNA, 484 nt
Filed under: uncultured bacterium
Lineage: Bacteria
Description: partial 16S ribosomal RNA
Rfam family: Bacterial small subunit ribosomal RNA
Source: RNAcentral